AUACGAAGGGGGCAAGCGUUGUUCGGAAUAACUGGGCGUAAAGCGCACGUAGGCGGAUUGAUCAGUUAGAGGUGAAAUCCCAGGGCUCAACCCUGGAACUGCCUUUAAUACUGUCAGUCUAGAGAUCGAGAGAGGUGAGUGGAAUUCUGAGUGUAGAGGUGAAAUUCGUAGAUAUUCGGAGGAACACCAGUGGCGAAGGCGGCUCACUGGCUCGAUACUGACGCUGAGGUGCGAAAGCGUGGGGAGCAAACAGAAUUAGAAACCCUGGUAGUCC
RNAcentral lists this ribosomal RNA (274 nucleotides) under uncultured bacterium. RNAcentral describes it as "partial 16S ribosomal RNA". It matches the Rfam family "Bacterial small subunit ribosomal RNA", at positions 523 to 796 of the family's 1533-position model. The record is from RNAcentral.